AGCAACCACUGGACUCCAUAUGCUCCGGGACUACUGUCGCUACCUGCACCCAGGGAGCAAUUUCUCAAGAUGAAUCAAUAAAACAGCUUCCACCUAUGAUCUACAUUCCUAUGUAGCCUGACAAAGAGACAGAAUGUGCUGAUCAAGUGGGACCUGAGAAUAUGUAAAUGACACCUUGCAUUGUGAACUGACUUGCAGGCGUAAUCGUGCCAACUCCAGCUCCUGUUACACUGCUUCCUGAGUCAGCGUGGCGAAGGCCUGGGCACAGACCUGAAACCAUCUCUGGUCUCAGGGGCUGGGGCAGCCAGUGUGAGGAGAUCCAGCCUGCCCACAGCUAACACACCACUUCCAGCUCUCCUUGUUUUCAACUGAUUCCCACAAUACUUACUUGGACAACAAAGCCAAAGAACUCAAUGCAUCAGGACAAAGUUUAUGUCUGCAUCCCUACGCAUAUGGAGAUUGGAAACUGGCACCAGAUUUAAAGUAUCUGAGGGUUGCAACCAUGCUCCACUUCUCUUCUCUGAAAGCUCUGCUGAUCAAAAUGUGACCUUUCCACUUUCAUUAUCUGGAUCAAGAUAAAGCAUAGCAUAAAGGUGAAGCCCAAAUGCUCUCUCUGCCAGCCAUGUGAUCCUAGGUAAGUAAUUGCCCUCUCUGAGUCUGUAGAAAGGAAUGCUAAACCUCACUGUGUCUAGAUCCACAGGACUGCUAUGAGAACCAACUGAGGCAAUUUAUCUAACAAAAUAUUUCUGCAGAUAUGGUGCAGGCCAGGUAGGGUGCCAGCAUGGUGAUACAGCUAGAAACCAGACAAGGAACAUCUGCCCUCCUCAAGUGUACACCUAAGUUCAGCUUUGCAAGUUGCAAAGUGUUGUACAAAUAUAAAAGUAUAUGAGAUUUGUGCUUGAGGCACUGAGCAGAUAACAGCAUCCUCAUAUCCACACCAUUCACGCUUUCCUGCUCUGCAUAGUUUUUUAUACAAAUGUAAACUAGAAGAUGGUUCUCUAAAGAUAGCUAUUAUAGUCU
RNAcentral lists this long non-coding RNA (1020 nucleotides) under Vulpes vulpes (red fox). Its description in RNAcentral is "lncRNA (ENSVVUG00000003383.1)". Lineage: Eukaryota; Metazoa; Chordata; Mammalia; Carnivora; Canidae. The record is from RNAcentral.